Molecule: ribosomal RNA, 397 nt
Filed under: uncultured bacterium
Lineage: Bacteria
Description: partial 16S ribosomal RNA
Rfam family: Bacterial small subunit ribosomal RNA
Source: RNAcentral
AUACGUAGGGGGCGAGCGUUGUCCGGAAUGAUUGGGCGUAAAGGGCGCGUAGGCGGCCCGGUAAGUCUGGAGUGAAAGUCCUGUUUUUAAGAUGGGAAUUGCUUUGGAUACUGUCGGGCUUGAGUGCAGAAGAGGUAAGUGGAAUUCCCAGUGUAGCGGUGAAAUGCGUAGAGAUUGGGAGGAACACCAGUGGCGAAGGCGACUUACUGGACUGUAACUGACGCUGAGGCGCGAAAGUGUGGGGAGCAAACAGGAUUAGAUACCCUGGUAGUCCACACUGUAAACGAUGAAUGCUAGGUGUAGGGGGUAUCGACCCCUUCUGUGCCGCAGUCAACACAAUAAGCAUUCCGCCUGGGGAGUACGGCCGCAAGGUUGAAACUCAAAGGAAUUGACGGGG